Molecule: unclassified non-coding RNA, 702 nt
Filed under: Mesorhizobium sp.
Lineage: Bacteria; Pseudomonadati; Pseudomonadota; Alphaproteobacteria; Hyphomicrobiales; Phyllobacteriaceae
Description: partial 16S-23S ribosomal RNA intergenic spacer
Rfam family: Bacterial large subunit ribosomal RNA (bases 587-702)
Source: RNAcentral
CGGAGGUUCAGUCCUCCCAGGCCCACCACUUCCUCGAUCGUCAUGUUCGGGAAAACACUAUCAGGGGCCGUAGCUCAGCUGGGAGAGCGCCUGCUUUGCAAGCAGGAUGUCGUCGGUUCGAUCCCGUCCGGCUCCACCAAUGCGCGAUCUCGAAGAGAUCGUCGCUCCAACCACCCUCUUGCGAGGUUGGCUAAGCGCGAUCCGAAAGGAUCGCGUGUGGGUGUCGAGCAGAGACGGCGAGAAAAAAGUCAUUCGUAAAAAGAGUUUGCGUCGAGCCUAGUGCUCUGCGCCUGUUCUGUUUGACAUCGUAAAGAGAAGAUUUGUUCGAACUUCAUGGGUUCCGAAAGGGCCAUGAUUUGUCGCAAGGGACGCUCAAUCCCUUGCCUAUGAUGGGUUUGCCUAACCGCGCCCUCGAACGGAUCUCGAGAAGCUGGUCUUUUUGUGCCAAUUCCAUUGAGGCAGGUCCCGCACAGGAUCUGGUUCGAGGCGACAAUCCCUUCGGGAUUGCGCUUAGCUAACCUCGCAAGGGGUUUGGCUUGAACGACGAUCCCUUCGGGAUCGCGUGAUGGGUAUUGGCAAUGAGAACGAUCAAGUGUCUUAAGGGCAAUUGGUGGAUGCCUUGGCAUGCACAGGCGAUGAAGGACGUGAUACGCUGCGAUAAGCUACGGGGAGGUGCGAAUACCCUUUGAUCCGUAGAUCUCC